UCGAGAAUUUUUCACAAUGGGCGAAAGCCUGAUGGAGCGACGCCGCGUGGGGGAUGAAGGGCUUCGGCUCGUAAACCCCUGUCAUUUGCGAACAAAGGCGCCGACCUAACACGUCGUCGUCUGAUAGUAGCAGAAGAGGAAGGGACGGCUAACUCUGUGCCAGCAGCCGCGGUAAUACAGAGGUCCCAAGCGUUGUUCGGAUUCACUGGGCGUAAAGGGUGCGUAGGUGGUGGACUAAGUCGGGUGUGAA
Molecule: ribosomal RNA, 250 nt
Filed under: uncultured bacterium
Lineage: Bacteria
Description: partial 16S ribosomal RNA
Rfam family: Bacterial small subunit ribosomal RNA
Source: RNAcentral